This 253-nucleotide ribosomal RNA is filed under the name uncultured bacterium. Its description in RNAcentral is "partial 16S ribosomal RNA". It matches the Rfam family "Bacterial small subunit ribosomal RNA", at positions 524 to 776 of the family's 1533-position model. The record is from RNAcentral.
UACGUAGGGGGCAAGCGUUGUCCGGAUUUAUUGGGCGUAAAGAGCGUGUAGGCGGCCAUACAGGUCCGUUGUGAAAACUGGAGGCUUAACCUCCAGACGUCGAUGGAAACCGUAUGGCUAGAGUCCGGAAGAGGAGAGUGGAAUUCCUGGUGUAGCGGUGAAAUGCGCAGAUAUCAGGAAGAACACCCGUGGCGAAGGUGGCUCUCUGGGACGGUACUGACGCUGAGACGCGAAAGCGUGGGGAGCGAACAGG